GUGAAAUCGGCUCUUUAAGCACCUCCAGAUGAAGCAAUAGAAAAAUUGUAUGCUAAUUAUUACCUAUUCACGGAGAAAAAAACCUCGUGCGUGGGACCCGAAGUUUAGGUCAUAUGGAACUCUGAAGUUUUUAGAUUCAGCAUCUGAACACUUUAGGUUUAGCUAUCGAAAAUCGGAUCACACAUCUGAACUACUACAUCUGAAGUACUUCAGAUGUGAGAACCGAAGUUUUUCGGAUGUGAGAACCGAAGUUUUUCGGAUGUGAGAACCGAAGUUUUUCGGAUGUGAAAACCGAAGUACUUCAGAUGUAAGAACUGAAGUUUCAGAUGUGUGAUCCAAACCUCGGCAGCUGGACCUUAAGUGUUCGGAUGCUCAAUCGGAAAACUUCAGAGAUCCAUAUUACCUAAACUUCGGGUCCCACGCACGAAGUUUUUUUCUCCGUGUUGACAACAACAAAAAAAAAAUCCCAAAAUGUGACGUAAGUAACAUGUAUCUACGUCGUGGUUUCCUUCAGGGAAGCCUCCUGCCUGCCGUUGGAGUGGGACGAAGACGUUUUCCGGGAUUUCCUGGACUACCUGAUGUGCAACGACGUCAUGAAAUGCCUCUUCAACCAGCCCGACGUCGUGAUACGACACAUGCUGCCAGCCGUGGCGGAUGCCGUGAGGAGGAUCAAUUGGAUCCACGGAAAGCACUUGAAACUAAGGAAACGGGUCAAGAAGGCCAUCAUCUGGUGCAGAUCGUUGAACCAGACGGAAGAGGCGCAUGCGGACAACUCGGCGACGUUCUUCAGCGCCUACAAACCGUUGACGGAGACUCCCCUGUGGCUGGACGAAGUGGAGUACCCGACGCUGCCCCUGUUCAUGUCCGUGGGGUUCCCGCCGCGGCACCCCGACUGGCCGAGCUUCCAGACAUCCACCCGGGAUAGGGAGGUCGAGCGACUCAUCCGGGUGUGCAGGAGCAACGGGUGCCUCCCGGACCAAGAGGAAUACAAUAUCAACGAUCUCCUGGACUACGUCAGGUGUAAUAACGUUGGCGAGUGUGUCAUCAAUAAAAACCGGCACAUCAUAGACACCACCUUGCAGGUCUUGCAAAGCGCGCUCGAAUGGAUCAACGGUGUCUAUUACAAGUACCACAGUCCUCAGGCCAGAGCGAGGAAAUUCGCGAUGAAAAAGCUUCCAAGCUCUUUAACGAAAAGUUCAGUGUGGAAAAAAAUCGGGUUGAGCUCGAGUCCGCGUCGUGAGAGAUCAACAUCAACACCCCGCAGUAUUCCGAUAUCCUCCGAGCUAAAAGGCAUCAGCAAACUCAUGGUCAAUAAACUGCUUGACCCUUGCACCUUCAUGAGAUACGCUAAGAGCGAGCAGCGAUGGAACGAGGAAUAUCGGAUCGACCAAAACUGCAAGAUCUACUGCCAAUUCCUGGGAGUCGCCAUGGAGAUCUUUGUACCGGCCUCGGCGCCCUACCCACUCGUUUACUGCUCCCAUCUGGUUGAUGGGCAUUGCAAUGAGCGUGAUGUGUGUGUCUGCGAGCGACGAGUCCCGACGCCGUUUCGACGGUACAAACCACAGAUUAACAUGCUCUACUGCGACAACAUGCUCCGACGGAAAUUGAGCAAGAUCGAGUUGCCGGUUCCGAGGCCGCCUCCGCCCAAGUAUACGCCUACACCUUCGCCCAAGUAUACGCCUACACGGCCGCCCACUAACCCGGCCCUCGGACAGGCUCUACAUGCGUAUUCUAGAUCUGAAUCUGAUGCCGGAUCCGAAUCGGACUACGGAUCUGACGUUGCGUCUCAGGGCUCGCCGGUAGAAAAAGAUGAAUAUUUAUUGAGGCUAGAAAAGGCCUUUCCUACUGGAGAUAUUACUAAACACCCACAAAUUUAA
RNAcentral lists this long non-coding RNA (1877 nucleotides) under Bemisia tabaci. RNAcentral describes it as "lncRNA ENSSSA1UGG011558". Lineage: Eukaryota; Metazoa; Arthropoda; Insecta; Hemiptera; Aleyrodidae. The record is from RNAcentral.